This 925-nucleotide ribosomal RNA is filed under the name Nematoda environmental sample. RNAcentral describes it as "SSU rRNA". It matches the Rfam family "Eukaryotic small subunit ribosomal RNA", at positions 88 to 1020 of the family's 1831-position model. The record is from RNAcentral. Lineage: Eukaryota; Metazoa; Nematoda.
CGCGAAUGGCUCAUUACAACAGCCGUUGUUUCUUGGAUCUUGAUUUACUUGGAUAACUGUGGUAAUUCUAGAGCUAAUACAUGCAACCAAGCUCCGACCUUGCGGAAGGAGCGCAUUUAUUAGACCAAGACCAAUCGGGCUCUGCCUGACUUUUGGUGACUCUGAAUAACUUUGCUGAUCACACGGUCCAGCACCGGUGACAUAUCUUUCAAGUGUCUGCCCUAUCAACUUUCGAUGGUAGUUUACGUGCCUACCAUGGUUGUAACGGGUAACGGAGAAUAAGGGUUCGACUCCGGAGAGGGAGCCUGAGAAAUGGCUACCACAUCCAAGGAAGGCAGCAGGCGCGCAAAUUACCCAAUCUCAGUUCGAGGAGGUAGUGACGAAAAAUAACGAGACGGUUCUCUAUGAGGCCCGUCAUCGGAAUGGGUACAAUUUAAACCCUUUAACGAGGAUCUAUUGGAGGGCAAGUCUGGUGCCAGCAGCCGCGGUAAUUCCAGCUCCAAUAGCAUAUGCCAAUUCUGUUGCUGUUAAAAAGCUCGUAGUUGGAUCUUUUCCGAGGAGCCAGUCUGCCUAAAGGGUACGUACUGGUUUCCGAGGAUUUUUCUGCUGGUCUUCCCGUGGUGCUCUUCACCGGGUGUCACGGGUGGCUAGCGCUUUUACUUUGAAAAAAUUAGAGUGCUCAAAACAGGCGUUACUGCCCGAAUAGUGGUGCAUGGAAUAAUGGAAUAGGAUCUCGGUUCUAUUUUGUUGGUUUUAGGAGCGCGAGAUAAUGAUUAAGAGGGACAGACGGGGGCAUUCGUAUUGCGGCGUUAGAGGUGAAAUUCUUGGAUCGCCGCAAGACGAACAACUGCGAAAGCAUUUGCCAAGAAUGUCUUCAUUAAUCAAGAACGAAAGUUAGAGGUUCGAAGGCGAUCAGAUUCCGCCC